CAUUGUGAAGAUGGAAGAACGCCCA
Molecule: non-coding RNA, 25 nt
Filed under: Rattus norvegicus (Norway rat)
Lineage: Eukaryota; Metazoa; Chordata; Mammalia; Rodentia; Muridae
Source: RNAcentral